UGGGAUUCCUGAUACUUCAGUCAGAAGAAGCAGAAUUAGUAUGACUAUUUACCUAGAAAAAGCAUCGAGUGGGUCUCAAACUUUAAAUACGUCAAAAUAAACCUGGUUUGCAGGCCUCAACUCAUUACCCUGGCACUUUUACCACAGUGGAGCAUCUGGCUCUCAACUUUACAGGUACAGAAACCAAGCUUUGUGAACACUUAGAAAACAGGAUCACUCCAGAUUGAAAUUCAUACUACUCUAGCUCAUGAAGCUGAUGAAAGAAAUAUACUUUAUUUAUUUAUUUAUUUUUAAAUUAUUACUAUUUUUUGAGAUGGAGUCUUGCUGGAGUGUAGUGGUGCGAUCUCAGCUCACUGCAAUGUCCACCUCCCGGGUUCAAGCAAUUCCCCUGCCUCAGCCUCUUGAGUAGCUGGGAUUACAGGCAUGUGCUACCAUGCCUGGCUAAUUUUUUGUAUUUUAGUAGAGACGGGGUUUCACCAUGUUGGCCAGGAUGGUCUUGAUCUCCUGACCUCGUGAUUCACCCACCUCAGCCUCCCAAAGUGCUGGGAUUACAGGCGUGAGCCACUGCACCCGGCCUAUACUUGAUUUAUAAGUACAUCACAAGUAAUGCAACAACCUACACACUUGCAACUACAAACUUUCAGAUUAUUUCCGUGGCUGACUAACCUCCACAUUAUCAGAGCCACAUUCUUUUAUGGAAAUAUUUAGGUUUGUGCAAAAGUAAUUGCGGUCUUUGCCAUUAAAGUAAAGGCAAAAACCACAAUUACUUUUGCACCAAUCUUUAUAUUUAUAUAAUUCACUAGCUUGCAGUAAAAUCCCACAAGCUGAUUACCAAUUUUCUCUCUUUCAGGAGUCCUCUCUAACCUCUACCCUGAUCUUUGUUUGUGGAUGUUGCUCUUGAGCUCCUGAGUACACUCUUACUUCCCCCAUUUCUAGGAUCUUGGGCAAUGGGGAAGACCUUGAUUGUAACUAACAUAUAUGAAAACCCGUCUAUACAAGAGUUAAAGCUGCACCUGUCUCCUACACAAAAAUUCCACCUCAUCCUAAGUCAAAGACCCUUCUUCUAUAUCAUAGUCAUCAAAACACUGUAUGAAUUUAUUUUUAUUUUUUAAUUUUUAUUUUUUUAAGAUAAGUAGAGAGUUUAUUUGGGCCAAGUUUGAAGACUGCAAUCCAAGAACAUAGAUUCAAAUUGCCCUGAAUACACACUCCCACUGCAUUAAUUUAGACAGCACUAAUGGAAAUUGCAACUUUACAUCUCCUCAGAUGAGAGUUUCACUUGAUUUCUGUCAGUCUUACACAUAGGAAUGCUUAAGAUGACCCUAGGGUAGUAGAACAGUAUUUCUCAGUUAACCAUAAUAAAUGCCUGUCACACUCAAAGCUCCCCCUGCCAAGAAUUAUGGACCCUCUUACCAGCCUGGUUGUCUUAAAAUCCAGUCUGGGUGAUGUUCAUUAUAAGCUUUUACUUCAAGAAAAUCGCUCCAACUCAGAAAUCUAACUUCUUAAAUCAUAAGUAAAAACCUCUUUUUAUCCUUGUAACUGAUAAAGUGUUUGAACUUGGCCCUAGUUUCACAAUUAAAUUAUCUAGCACUCCUAACCCAGCUUUCUCCUGUGUCUUGGCUGAAGAACAAGAAAAUUAAUUGGGUGACUAUAAGGAAUCUGAGGCAACCUCUUCCACAUCUGAGUGCCUGCCUCCCACACAUGACUCUGCAGCAGGAAACUGGGGACAUUCUUCCAGCUUCAGUGACUCAUGAGAAAAUAAUGUCCCAGUGGCUGAUUGUGUGUGUGUGUGUGUUUGUGUGAAAAUAUAUAUAACACUUAAGCAUUUAACCACUUUUAAGUAUAUAGUUCAGUAGAAUUAAGUGCUUUUACAUUGUUACAUUGUUGUGCAACCAUCACCAUUCCCAUCUCCAAACUGCAACUCAGUUUCAUCUUUCAUCUUCUAAACUGAAACUCACUACCCAUUAAACAAUAACUGUCCAUUUUCUGGUCUUGCCAACACCUUGUAACCACUAUUUUACUUUCUGUCUCUAUGAACUUAACUACUCCAGAUGCCUUGUAUAAGCAAAGUCUUACAAUAUUU
Molecule: long non-coding RNA, 2080 nt
Filed under: Homo sapiens (human)
Lineage: Eukaryota; Metazoa; Chordata; Mammalia; Primates; Hominidae
Description: HSALNT0102801
Source: RNAcentral